UACGGAGGGUGCGAGCGUUGUCCGGAAUCACUGGGCGUAAAGGGCGCGUAGGCGGCCUGGUAAGUAGGGGGUGAAAUCCUGCGGCUUAACCGCAGGGCUGCCUUCUAAACUGUCAGGCUCGAGCACAGUAGAGGCAGGUGGAAUUCCCGGUGUAGCGGUGGAAUGCGUAGAGAUCGGGAAGAACAUCGGUGGCGAAGGCGGCCUGCUGGGCUGUUGCUGACGCUGAGGCGCGACAGCGUGGGGAGCAAACAGG
RNAcentral lists this ribosomal RNA (253 nucleotides) under uncultured bacterium. Its description in RNAcentral is "partial 16S ribosomal RNA". It matches the Rfam family "Bacterial small subunit ribosomal RNA", at positions 524 to 776 of the family's 1533-position model. The record is from RNAcentral.